CGAUGGUUGUCGUCAGCUCGUGUCGUGAGAUGUUGGUUAAGUCCGCAACGAGCGCAACCCUCGCCUCUAGUUGCCAGCAUCGGUUGGGCACUCUAGAGGGGACUGCCGGCGACAAGUCGGAGGAAGUGGGGAUGACGUCAAAUCAUCAUGCCCCUUAUGACCUGGGCUACACACGUGCUACAAUGGGCGGUACAAAGGGCUGCGAACCCGCGAGGGGGAGCGAAUCCCAAAAAGCCGCUCUCAGUUCGGAUUGCAGGCUGCAACUCGCCUGCAUGAAGCCGGAAUCGCUAGUAAUCGCGGAUCAGCAUGCCGCGGUGAAUACGUUCCCGGGCCUU
This 335-nucleotide ribosomal RNA is filed under the name uncultured Geobacillus sp. Its description in RNAcentral is "bacterial SSU rRNA". It matches the Rfam family "Bacterial small subunit ribosomal RNA", at positions 1042 to 1382 of the family's 1533-position model. The record is from RNAcentral. Lineage: Bacteria; Bacillati; Bacillota; Bacilli; Caryophanales; Anoxybacillaceae.